AAAAAAAACCCCAGGUGUGCAGCUGAUGGUAACGAGCUGCUGCGAUUCUACUGUACGAGUCUAACGUGCUCGUUGGGCGCUCGCGGCUCGUCGAACUUGUGCGGCUCGAUCCCAGGUUGCGGCGUGUGCACCAUCAUCAGGCACGGGUUUCAAGGCAAGGAGUGCAAAGGGGUACGCACCACGGCGAGUAGCGGCAGGGCCCACGACUCCCUCAUUGGUUGUGCGGAUGGACGGAGGGCCAUGCUGGUGUGCCGCGUGAUUGCUGGGAGAGUGAAGCGCGUGGAGGAUGAUACGGCGCCGCCAGAGGAGGAUGCCGCGUCAACUGGUGGCUCAUACGAUUCUGUAGCCGGGUACGCCGGAAUUUACUCCAAUCUCGAGGAGUUGUUUGUUUUCAAUCCAAAGGCUAUCCUUCCUUGUUUCGUUGUCAUUUACAGUGCUCUCGAGUCUUGAUUACUAUAGUUUGUACCAGUAGCCAUCAAUAUCAAUGGCUAGCGCACGGCACGACCGUGCUCAGUGCUCACCUCACCUAUCAGUGUGCAUAUAAUAAAGUUCAAUUUGGUUUUACGGGGU
RNAcentral lists this unclassified non-coding RNA (570 nucleotides) under Hevea brasiliensis (rubber tree). Lineage: Eukaryota; Viridiplantae; Streptophyta; Magnoliopsida; Malpighiales; Euphorbiaceae. The record is from RNAcentral.